RNAcentral lists this ribosomal RNA (433 nucleotides) under uncultured bacterium. RNAcentral describes it as "partial 16S ribosomal RNA". It matches the Rfam family "Bacterial small subunit ribosomal RNA", at positions 29 to 507 of the family's 1533-position model. The record is from RNAcentral.
AACGAACGCUGGCGGCAGGCCUAACACAUGCAAGUCGAGCGAGGACUUCGGUCCUAGCGGCGGACGGGUGAGUAACGCGUGGGAACGUGCCCUUUGCUUCGGAAUAGCCCUGGGAAACUGGGAGUAAUACCGGAUGAGCCCUUUGGGGGAAAGAUUUAUCGGCGAAGGAUCGGCCCGCGUUGGAUUAGGUAGUUGGUGGGGUAAUGGCCUACCAAGCCGACGGUCCAUAGCUGGUUUGAGAGGAUGAUCAGCCACACUGGGACUGAGACACGGCCCAGACUCCUACGGGAGGCAGCAGUGGGGAAUCUUAGACAAUGGGGGAAACCCUGAUCUAGCCAUGCCGCGUGAGCGAUGAAGGCCUUAGGGUUGUAAAGCUCUUUCAGCUGGGAAGAUAAUGACGGUACCAGCAGAAGAAGCCCCGGCUAACUCCGUG